AAGAAAUACUGUUUAAGGUGUUUUUUGUUCCAGCGUUGCUAAUUUGUUUAUUUAGUACUUUUGACUUUCAGUAUGAGAAACUAUGCUACAGUAGCAAUGUGAAAAACAACAACAUGUGUAUACUGGAGUUGACACGGUGGGUCACAUCUGUAGCCAGACUUCUCCAGUACCCAGUGACCAGCAGCACAGAUUGAAGAAGAUGGUAUGGAAACACCUUCAAAAAUCAUCUGCAGAAAAUUAUUACCAGGAAUAAAGGACUAUAACAUCUAGGGAUGUUACACUGGCACAGGAUAUGCAGUCCCAAGCACUGUCUACAGUUGUGGAGAAGAACUGUGGCCUUGAAUAGGUUUCUUCUGCUGAAUGGGACAUGAAGAUGUUUCUUUUAGAAAUACUUUGUGUUUGGUUGUGGGUGUUCAGCUGAAUCUUGAAUUUAGUGGCCAGCAACUAAGACGUGAACUGAGAUGCAGCAGAUCUUCUGUUUCUCAGCAGACAUUAUGCCUUUCAGAAAUAUCGCUAUUCAUAUAA
This 525-nucleotide long non-coding RNA is filed under the name Coturnix japonica (Japanese quail). RNAcentral describes it as "lncRNA (ENSCJPG00005018396.1)". Lineage: Eukaryota; Metazoa; Chordata; Aves; Galliformes; Phasianidae. The record is from RNAcentral.